GGGACGCCUUACAAGAUAUAUAGCCAAGUUGUUGGGGAACAUAAAAAGAGUGUGGAGACAACCCUUGCGGAUCUUGACGUCACACCAAGUAAUGCUGCAUACAGACUGAAUGUCAGACCCUUGCUAAGGAUGGCUUCUAGCUUUGCUUUUUCGGUUCAGCUCCAAGUUUCAAUGAUAGUUCAGCAUAUUUUUGAUGAUGAGGAGGACAUAACUGUAAUGAAGUUGUGGGUUUAUCAUGCUUGCGACAGGAUGCCAAUAGCUGAGGCUCUUCCCGGUAAUAUAUUUCUUAUUCUGAAUUUUUUGAAAGCUCCUUUUCCUCUUCUCUUUCUAUGUAUUCUGAAGGGAUUGUGCAAGGUAAGAUGA
This is a non-coding RNA of Vicia faba (fava bean), 363 nucleotides long. NCBI's taxonomy places the organism in Eukaryota, Viridiplantae, Streptophyta, Magnoliopsida, Fabales, Fabaceae. The record is from the annotation of a GenBank genome assembly.